CUCUACAUUUUAAGCUUGAAGAUGAGUUUUAUUGUCUUAUUUCCUGGUGUAACUCUCCCUUCUUUUUCUAGGUGAAACCAGAGGUUUGAGGCUGGCCUGCAUAGGUGCUCCGAACCAAGAAAGAAGGGCAAGACACAAAGGCCUGGAAAGGAGGGGCGGCUAAGGGCUGCUCUUCCUUGCCCACACGUCCCGCCAGGAAGCCGGGCGGGGCUGGCGUGUGCCGCCAGGAUCCCCGGGAAGGACCCGGCUAAGAUGGGACCAUCUCCUAAGAGGCAAGAGCUCUGGAUCUGAUUAAGACUUCCUCUUCUGGAGAAUGAAGAACGUUCUAGAUCGGAGAGGAUUGGAGGAGAAAGUAAAGACUCGUGCACUGAGGAGUAGUCUGUGUCUGGACCUGCGUGAGCCGGACGUGACCUGCAUAUAGCUGGCGAGACACCAUCGUCACAGACCUCGUCCUUCCUUCUUGUGGGAGACAUUCCCUGUACCGUCGCCUGGUCUUAAGACUCCGCCCCCCACUCCGCGCCCCAAUCUCCGGGAACCACAGGGCUUUCUACCGCACCCUUUGUCUUGCCCCCCGGCUCCCCCGUCUGCUGUGCCUUUGGACGCAGUCAUUCUUGUUUGCUCCAUUAUCUUCCAGCCGGAUACAGAGUGAAUAGUUAACUACACUUAGGUCAAAUGGGAUUUUAAUUUUCGUUCCUGUUCCUUCUAAAGCGGCCAGUGUUUGCGUUGCUCUGUGAGCAACGUUGGAAUAGUACGUCCUCUCCCUUAUUUGGGAUCUGGCCCCCUCGGGUUCCAGAGCGAGGCAGGUGAGUGCCAAAGUUCUUCAGGGCUCUCCAGUGUCAGGGACACCGGAGGGGGUCCUGCAGGGGAGCUGGCUCAGGACGGCUGGUGUCCUCCGUGUCCAGCUUCUGUCGUUCGGAUCACACGCAGGUGUAUGUCUGGAAGAGUGAAAAAGACGAUUUGUUCAUCCCAGCUACCUCCUACCUUUUUUAAACUGUAUUUUUGACACAUAACUGACAUACCGUUAUACUCGUUUCCCACCUGUCUUCUGUUGAGGCAGACGCACCGCCCGCUAUGAAGACCCCCCCCCCCCCCCCCCCACCUCGCAGGUGGCAGUUAGGACCCAUGCCAGAACAUGGUGCUUCCUUACAGACAAUCUGGCUGCCAGAGCUGGUGUGUUUAUUGAGGAUCCUCGUCCCCCAGAAUGCCGAUGACACUCCUGAUGGCAGGCUGGGCCCCGUGAAACACGAGUCAAAUAUUCUGUCACCACCGUGUGCAUGGCUAAAAGCACUUCUAGAUUCGCUCUUGUCUGCGUUGCACAGCCAACGAUGUCUGCACGUCCUGCUUCCCCAAAAAAUGGAUGGCUCAUUUUUGUAGAAAGAAUUAAAGCUGUACAUAUCCACCUU
Molecule: long non-coding RNA, 1403 nt
Organism: Lynx canadensis (Canada lynx)
Lineage: Eukaryota; Metazoa; Chordata; Mammalia; Carnivora; Felidae
Exons: 2
Source: RefSeq, a predicted model, not a curated record